This is a long non-coding RNA of Paramormyrops kingsleyae, 2078 nucleotides long. RefSeq lists it as uncharacterized. The record is from RefSeq and is a predicted model, not a curated record. NCBI's taxonomy places the organism in Eukaryota, Metazoa, Chordata, Actinopteri, Osteoglossiformes, Mormyridae.
CUUCGAGUCGGAUGUAGUAUUUCCAGCGUUAGUAACCGAGUAAUGAUACUUUUAAAAUUGUUUUUUUACAUUUCCUCCAGAGACAAAAAUAACUUCCUAAAACAUCUCCCUCUUCAGGAAGGCCCACAGGUUUUCUGUUGGGUUCAAAUCAGGUGAGCAAGGGGGCCAAGUCAUCAUUCUGCUGUCUUUGAACCCUUUGCUGACCAGACAAUCUCUGGUGCACUUCCAUGCAUGAGAUGAAGCAUCGUCUUGCAUCAGUAUCAUGGACUUUUUGAAUGAUGCUGGCUUCUUCUGGUACCACUGCUUGAGGAAGGUCUCCUCCAGGAACUUGCAGUAGUUUCUGGAGUUCAUUUUCAAGCCGUCUUCCACCCGAAAUGGUCCAACCAAUUCACUGCUGAUAAUUCCAGCCCAUGUCAUUAUCCCCCCGCCCCCCUUGGUGUGCAAUGGCGGUCAGUAACCCAGCCUUGGCCCCUCCCAUCAGGGUCACUCUCAUCUCAUCCGUCCACAAAGCCUUUGAAAAAUCCCUCUUCAAAUAUUUCUUUGCCCAUUCUUGAUGCUUUCGCUUAUGAUUUUUAUUUAAAGGAGGCUGUUUUUCUGCAUUUCUCACCCUGCCAAUCAUGCAAAGCACUUUGCAGCUUGUGCUUCUGCAGAGUAAUGGAAGUUUGCAGUUCUGAAAGAUGGUAGCACUUCAUGCAAAAGGGUUCCUGUAUACUUCCUGUUUGAUUCUUCUCAAGUCUAGUAAUUUCUUCUCGAAGCGCUUUUUGCAUCUCUCUGGUCUCAUGCUCAGAAAUCUUUUGGAAGUUUGCAGUUCUGAAAGAUGGUAACACUUCAUGCAAAAGGGUUCCUGCAUACUUCCUGUUUGAUUCUUCUCAAGUCUAGUAAUUUCUUCUCAACGCGCUUUUUGCAUCUCUCUGGUCUCAUGCUCAGAAAUCUUUUGACACUGCGGUGACCACAACUCAACACCUUUGCAGUUUCAAUAGUUUUGUAGCCCUCUGAAAGAAAGCCAGUCAACUAUUUGUCUCUUUUCAUCUUCUGUUAGGUCUCCUUUAUGCCUUUUUUCAGUCAUUAACCUUGAAACUGCUUUUCCUGCACAGGAUCUUAGAAAUCCUAACCCAAGAAGCACAGGGAAGAGAAACUGUGCACCUACAGGAUGUCAGUUCAUCAUGUGGCAUGCACACACUCUAUGGGCAAUUUAGACGUGUCGUUUAGGAAAUUAGGAAGCACAGGGAACUGAAACUGUGCGCUGUACAGGAUGUCAAAAGGAGGGGGGGGUGAUGUAUAUCUUGACAUUGCAAUACUGCACAUAGUAUUGCACAUGCAAUACUCACAUAGUGAAAGGAAGCAAUGUAACAAAGAUUUUAAAAUCAUUUAAAAAUAAUAAAGAUUUCAUCAUUUAAAAUAAGGCUGUUUCACAACUACACCAUAACUAAAAAAUAACUUGCAUAUAAUAUGAGUUUGUCUUGGUACAUGACUACAGUCUUUGUUAGGUAUAUGUUUCAUCCUCGUGUGCUGCAUCCUCAGCGAGUUGGCUUCAGUAAUGUGUGGAUUCAUUAUAACCGAUAACGAAUGUGUCCUUAUUCAUUUUUCUUGCUGGGGAGACGAGGGGGUGUCUGCCGAUGCUGGGGGGCACGUCCUCCCUAUUUCCAGUGCCCCUGCGUGACAUUGCACACUCACUCUGGACAAGACUUAGCUUUUAGAAAUAGUGCCUUUUAAUAUUGAGACACUGAAGUAGCUAAUUCCGCCCUUCCAUUAGGCGAUACUUAUAUAGAUCUGUUCAGUGAUCUGACAUGUAGCACAUGUGCAUAGCUUUAAGUAUGUGGGUAGUUUGAAGAACAUACCCCAGGAUUAUAAUUAGAUAUCAACAGAUAAUUGGUUACAUUGCAUUCCUUAUAGCUGUUGCACGUACAGUAAGUGUUGCUCAGUUGCUGAGUCAGUGUGUAAUUGGAUUCUUUUGGCUGAUGCGAGGAAUGUGCUUGGUCUUAGAAAAUGCAGCUGAGUGCGUUUGACAUCUGUAACCAUGAUCCAUUCUUGUAAUGCAGAAUGAUUUGAUUACAUUAAAUGUAGCUACUUUCUCUCCA